RNAcentral lists this transfer RNA (65 nucleotides) under Onymocoris hackeri. Its description in RNAcentral is "tRNA-Ile". Lineage: Eukaryota; Metazoa; Arthropoda; Insecta; Hemiptera; Thaumastocoridae. The record is from RNAcentral.
AAUAAUGUGCCUGAAUAAAGGAUUGUUUUGAUAGAACAAAUCAUGUUUUUAUAAAACCAUUAUUA